CGAGCGUCAUUUCAACCCUCAAGCUCAGCUUGGUAUUGGGUGCCACCUUGCAAUAGUGCACCUUAAAAUCAGUGGCGGUGCCAUCUGGCUUCAAGCAUAGUAAAACUCUUGCUUUGGAGGUUUGGAUAUGUGCUUGCCAUCAACCACUAAUUUAUCAAAAGGUUGACCUCGGAUCAGGUAGGGAUACCCGCUGAACUUAA
RNAcentral lists this unclassified non-coding RNA (200 nucleotides) under soil metagenome. RNAcentral describes it as "partial contains internal transcribed spacer 2 and large subunit ribosomal RNA". The record is from RNAcentral.